Molecule: non-coding RNA, 28 nt
Filed under: Rattus norvegicus (Norway rat)
Lineage: Eukaryota; Metazoa; Chordata; Mammalia; Rodentia; Muridae
Source: RNAcentral
UUUGGGUUAAAUGGCACACGAUGUUAGA